RNAcentral lists this ribosomal RNA (492 nucleotides) under uncultured bacterium. Its description in RNAcentral is "partial 16S ribosomal RNA". It matches the Rfam family "Bacterial small subunit ribosomal RNA", at positions 29 to 507 of the family's 1533-position model. The record is from RNAcentral.
AGUGAACGCUGGCGGUAGGCCUAACACAUGCAAGUCGAACGGCAGCACAGUAAGAGCUUGCUCUUACGGGUGGCGAGUGGCGGACGGGUGAGGAAUACAUCGGAAUCUACUUUUUCGUGGGGGAUAACGUAGGGAAACUUACGCUAAUACCGCAUACGACCUACGGGUGAAAGCAGGGGAUCUUCGGACCUUGCGCGAUUGAAUGAGCCGAUGUCGGAUUAGCUAGUUGGCGGGGUAAAGGCCCACCAAGGCGACGAUCCGUAGCUGGUCUGAGAGGAUGAUCAGCCACACUGGAACUGAGACACGGUCCAGACGCCUACGGGAGGCAGCAGUGGGGAAUAUUGGACAAUGGGCGCAAGCCUGAUCCAGCCAUACCGCGUGGGUGAAGAAGGCCUUCGGGCUGUAAAGCCCUUUUGUUGGGAAAGAAAAGCAGCAGGUUAAUACCCCGCUGUUCUGACGGUACCCAAAGAAUAAGCACCGGCUAACUUCGUG